RNAcentral lists this long non-coding RNA (239 nucleotides) under Nicotiana benthamiana. Its description in RNAcentral is "long non-coding RNA (NBEN_LNC007892)". The record is from RNAcentral. Lineage: Eukaryota; Viridiplantae; Streptophyta; Magnoliopsida; Solanales; Solanaceae.
UUUAAUCGGUUAAAAAAAAAGGUUUAGCCAUAAAGAUUCCGGUUAAAGAGAGUUCUAACGUGGGGGGCGACGGCAUAUAAUUACCUUAAAAGGGGGUGCCCUCCCUGAGACUUCCUCAGUCAUAGUUUUCUGCUUGAUAGACUAACUAAUUACUAAAAAGAAUUGCCAGAUCAACCAUCAAUCGUUCCUUAUGAUUCUAGGGGUUUAGGAUAGGAAGAGGGCUAAGCUCAACUCAAAGA